Molecule: long non-coding RNA, 1726 nt
Organism: Dreissena polymorpha
Lineage: Eukaryota; Metazoa; Mollusca; Bivalvia; Myida; Dreissenidae
Exons: 2
Source: RefSeq, a predicted model, not a curated record
UAUUGUUUUUGCCCUGUCUGUUGGUCCGUUGGUCUGUCUGUUUGCGCCAACUUUAACAUUUUGCAAUAACUUUUGCUAUAUUGAAGAUAGCAACUUCAUAUUUGGCAUGCAUGUGUAUCUCAUGAAGCUGCACAUUUUGAGUGGUGAAAGGUCAAGGUCAAGGUCAUCCUUCAAGGUCAGAGGUCAAAUAUAUGUGGCCAAAAUCGCUCAUUUUAUGAAUACUUUUGCAAUAUUGAAGAUAGCAACUUGAUAUUUGGCAUGCAUGUGUAUCUCAUGGAGCUGCACAUUUUGAGUGGUGAAAGGUCAAGGUCAUCCUUCAAGGUCAGAGGUCAGAUAUAUGUGGCCCAAAACGCUUAUUUUAUAAAUACUUUUGCAAUAUUGAAGAUUGCAACUUGAUAUUUGGCAUGCAUGUGCAUCUCAUGGAGCUGCACAUUUUGAGUGGUGAAAGGUCAAGGUCAUCCUUCACAAGGUCAAGGUCAUCCUACAAGGUCAAACAUCAUAUAGGGGGACAUUGUGUUUCACAAACACAUCUUGUUAUUUCAAAAGAUAAAUCUAGACAGAUCAUGUUUAUUAUAUAUGUUUAUUAGCUCACCUGAUAUUAUAUAUCAUACAAUUAACACUUUAGAAUUUUUGCUCAUGCCUUUUUGCCUUCGGUAUUUUAUAUUUCUGAGCAAUUCUGAUACUAAAACUUUGUUGGUUUCCUAAAAUGUGCUCAUUAGGGUGUUUAUAUCCCUUUGGCAAACAUUUGAGCUUGAAAAUGUUCGAAUUUAAAUAACUUCUUUAUUACCGAUAGGAAUUGAUCUCUCGUAAGGGAUUUAUUGAAUGACUGCACUGAUAUAAAUAUUGCCAUAACCAUUAUCAAAUAAUCUUGGAUAUAACACUGAGUAACUUGUGGCUGCAUGUUUACUUGAAAGAAUGCUGUGGUGUCUUUAGGUCUUUUAUGUAGUACCACAUGUUGUUUGAUGGAUUCAAUGCCAGAGUUCAAAACAGAUUUUCUACUUACAUUUUCUCAGUUUAUUAUUGACCUCCUGUAAGGGAGCUUUCUCCAUGACUGCGCUCAUAUAAAUACUGCCAAGCUCCAGCAGGAGGGGUGUUUUUGACUCCUGGUGUUGCGUUACUUUGUAACAAUUUUGGCCCAAUCUUAAUGAAACUUGGUCAUAAUGUUACUAUUGAUGAGUUCCACAUUGGGUUGUUUUGAGAAAAAAUUAGGUCACUGGGUCAAUUUAUAGAAAAACCUUGUUAACACUCGAAAAGUUCUCAAUUUGGACCCAAUCUUGCUGAAACUUGGUCAUAAUGUUACCCUCUAAAAUCUUAGACAUGGUUGUUAUUGGAUUGUCCAGACUCAAAAACUAGGUGUUACUUGCUUGAAGACAAGAAUUUGGGGAGUAAUGGUCCCUUUACACUUAGAAAUACAUGUAUCAUGAUUUUCGAUAAAAAAAUUCAUUUCAGUCCAGGUUUUCUUGUUAACCAUGCACACUAUUGGGAAUAGUUGUUUACCAUCAUGGCCUUCACCUUUUACUGGCAAGCUCUCUUUCUACUGAUAAGCACUUCGAAUAGUUGAGGGCGAUGAGACAGUUCUUAUUGCAUAAUUAUUAAUAUGCAAGUAAGCUAUAGAAAAACAGCUAUAGUUUAUUUUGUUCCUCAUGUUUAAAUACUUCCUUACAAAUAGUUUAUUAAUUUUUGUUCCUCGUGUUAAAAUACUUCCUUAUAAUAAAAGUUACGAAUU